UGGGGAAUUUUGGACAAUGGGCGCAAGCCUGAUCCAGCAAUGCCGCGUGCAGGAUGAAGGCCUUCGGGUUGUAAACUGCUUUUGUACGGAGCGAAAAGGUCUGCCCUAAUACGGUGGGCUCAUGACGGUACCGUAAGAAUAAGCACCGGCUAACUACGUGCCAGCAGCCGCGGUAAUACGUAGGGUGCGAGCGUUAAUCGGAAUUACUGGGCGUAAAGCGUGCGCAGGCGGUUAUAUAAGUCAGAUGUGAAAUCCCCGAGCUCAACCUGGGAACUGCAUUUGAGACUGUAUAGCUUGAGUACAGGAGAGGGGGAUGGAAUUCCGCGUGUAGAGGUGAAAUGCGUAGAUAUGCGGAGGAACACCGGUGGCGAAGGCAGUCCACUGGACCUGUACUGACGCUGAUGCACGAAAGCGUGGGGAGCAAACA
RNAcentral lists this ribosomal RNA (427 nucleotides) under uncultured bacterium. RNAcentral describes it as "bacterial SSU rRNA". It matches the Rfam family "Bacterial small subunit ribosomal RNA", at positions 355 to 774 of the family's 1533-position model. The record is from RNAcentral.